This 427-nucleotide unclassified non-coding RNA is filed under the name soil metagenome. Its description in RNAcentral is "partial contains 5.8S ribosomal RNA, internal transcribed spacer 2, and large subunit ribosomal RNA". The stretch from base 1 to 120 matches the Rfam family "5.8S ribosomal RNA", at positions 35 to 154 of the family's 154-position model. The record is from RNAcentral.
GAUGAAGAACGUAGCGAAAUGCGAUAAGUAGUGUGAAUUGCAGAAUUCCGUGAAUCAUCGAAUCUUUGAACGCACAUUGCGCCUUCUGGUAUUCCGGAAGGCAUGCCUGUUCGAGAGUCAUUAACAACCGUUUCGAUCCCUUUCUUUCAGAAAUUACAAAGAGGAAAAGGGUUUGGUUAUGGUGGAGGAGGGAAAGAGGGAGCGUUUAGCCUGUAAAAAAAGAGGCUGUGUUCCGCCUCCCCCCCAAAAUUGUACAGGCGGUCGUGUGCGCCCACGCAUCGAGGUGUUGUAAAAGCUGCCACGGCACUUUUCACCUGUGCAGCGCGAGAUUGGCCAGCCGGUUUAAAAACCCCUCCAAACAAUCAAAGGUUGACCUCGGAUCAGGUAGGGAUGCCCGCUGAACUUAAGCAUAUCAAUAAGCGGAGGA